GACGAACGCUGGCGGCGUGCUUAACACAUGCAAGUCGAACGGAAAGGCCCCCUUGUGGGGUACUCGAGUGGCGAACGGGUGAGUAACACGUGAGUAACCUACCCUUCACUUUGGGAUAACUUCAGGAAACUGGGGCUAAUACCGGAUAGGAGCUCCUGCUGCACGGUGGGGGUUGGAAAGUUUCGGCGGUAUGGGAUGGACGCGCGGCUUAUCAGCUUGUUGGUGGGGUAGUGGCUCACCACGGCUUUGACGGGUAGCCGGCCUGGGAGGGUGACCGGCCACAAGGGGACUACGAGACGGCCCAGACGCCUACGGGAGGCAGAAGUGGGGAAUAUGGCACAAUGAGAGGAAGCCUGAUGCAGCAGCGCCGCGUGCGGGAUGACGGCCUUCGGGGAGUAAACCGCUUUCGCUUGUGACGAAGCGUGAGUGACGGUAAUGGGUAAAGAAGCACCGGCUAACUACGUG
RNAcentral lists this ribosomal RNA (465 nucleotides) under uncultured bacterium. RNAcentral describes it as "partial 16S ribosomal RNA". It matches the Rfam family "Bacterial small subunit ribosomal RNA", at positions 28 to 507 of the family's 1533-position model. The record is from RNAcentral.